This 478-nucleotide ribosomal RNA is filed under the name uncultured bacterium. Its description in RNAcentral is "partial 16S ribosomal RNA". It matches the Rfam family "Bacterial small subunit ribosomal RNA", at positions 28 to 523 of the family's 1533-position model. The record is from RNAcentral.
GAUGAACGCUGGCGGCGUGCUUAACACAUGCAAGUCGAACGAUUAACCCAUCUUCGGAUGGUUAUAGAGUGGCGAACGGGUGAGUAACACGUGACCAACCUGCCUUUUACUUUGGGAUAACUCAGAGAAAUCUGUGCUAAUACCGAAUACUCCGAUACCUUCGCAUGUUGGUUUCGGGAAAGUUCCGGCGGUAAAAGAUGGGGUCGCGGCCUAUUAGAUAGUUGGUGGGGUAAUGGCCUACCCAGUCAGCAAGAGGUAGCCGGGUUGAGAGACUGAGCUGCCACAUUGGGACUGGGAUACGGCCCAGACACCUACGGGAGGAAGCAGUGGGGAAUUUUGCGCAAUGGGCGAAAGCUUGACGCCGCAACGCCGCGUGCGGGAUGCCGGCCUUCGGGUUGUAAUCCGCUUUCAGCAGGGAAGAAAUUGACGGUACCAACAGAAGAAGCUCCGGCUAACUACGUGCCAGCCGCCGCCGUAA